AUACGGAGGAUCCGAGCGUUAUCCGGAUUUCUUGGGUUUAAAGGGAGCGUAGGCGGACGCUUAAGUCAGUUGUGAAAGUUUGCGGCUCAACCGUAAAAUUGCAGUUGAUACUGGGUGUCUUGAGUACAGUAGAGGCAGGCGGGAUUUGUGGUGUGGCGGUGAAAUGCUUAGAUAUCACGAAGAACUCCGAUUGCGAAGGCAGCCUGCUGGACUGUAACUGACGCUGAUGCUCGAAAGUGUGGGUAUCAAACAGGAUUAGAUACCCUGGUAGUCCACACAGUAAACGAUGAAUACUCGCUGUUUGCGAUAUACAGUAAGCGGCCAAGCGAAAGCGUUAAGUAUUCCACCUGGGGAGUACGCCGGCAACGGUGAAACUCAAAGGAAUUGACGGGG
Molecule: ribosomal RNA, 393 nt
Filed under: uncultured bacterium
Lineage: Bacteria
Description: partial 16S ribosomal RNA
Rfam family: Bacterial small subunit ribosomal RNA
Source: RNAcentral